This 214-nucleotide small RNA is filed under the name Mycobacterium arosiense. Its description in RNAcentral is "c-di-AMP sequence". The stretch from base 29 to 214 matches the Rfam family "c-di-AMP riboswitch aptamer (ydaO/yuaA leader)". Rfam says of the family: This family represents a conserved RNA structure found upstream of the ydaO and yuaA genes in Bacillus subtilis and related genes in other bacteria. The ydaO/yuaA element is thought to act as a genetic "off" switch for the ydaO and yuaA genes in its native state. It is believed that the element may be triggered during osmotic shock leading to activation of ydaO, a predicted amino acid transporter gene, and members of the yuaA-yubG operon which code for KtrA and KtrB K+ transporters. Lineage: Bacteria; Bacillati; Actinomycetota; Actinomycetes; Mycobacteriales; Mycobacteriaceae. The record is from RNAcentral.
CUCCCUAUCGCGCCGAGCUCCAUCCAAUAGGCGGGGGCCACCGAACCACAUGGAUGGAGACGGGGGACCCACCGGUCCACCGUGAUCGGACUGGAGCCGCUCGCGGCUCCUAGGGGUGAAGCCGGCGUCGUCGCGCUCGAGGACAACGUCGGCCGGGUGGCCUCUCCAACCCGAACCCGACAGCUGACCUCGCAGGCGCGUGACGAGAGAGGAA